GCCUUCGUGGUGUAGUGGUUCUGCACACUGGGCUGGCAUUUCAGAGGUCUUUGGUUCGAUUCCCGGCGAAGGCG
This 74-nucleotide transfer RNA is filed under the name Stegodyphus dumicola. Its description in RNAcentral is "tRNA-Ala". It matches the Rfam family "tRNA". Rfam says of the family: Transfer RNA (tRNA) molecules are approximately 80 nucleotides in length. Their secondary structure includes four short double-helical elements and three loops (D, anti-codon, and T loops). Further hydrogen bonds mediate the characteristic L-shaped molecular structure. tRNAs have two regions of fundamental functional importance: the anti-codon, which is responsible for specific mRNA codon recognition, and the 3' end, to which the tRNAs corresponding amino acid is attached (by aminoacyl-tRNA synthetases). tRNAs cope with the degeneracy of the genetic code in two manners: having more than one tRNA (with a specific anti-codon) for a particular amino acid; and 'wobble' base-pairing, i.e. permitting non-standard base-pairing at the 3rd anti-codon position. Lineage: Eukaryota; Metazoa; Arthropoda; Arachnida; Araneae; Eresidae. The record is from RNAcentral.